Molecule: ribosomal RNA, 116 nt
Filed under: uncultured bacterium
Lineage: Bacteria
Description: partial 16S ribosomal RNA
Rfam family: Bacterial small subunit ribosomal RNA
Source: RNAcentral
ACACACCGCCCGUCACACCAUGGGAGUCGGAUAUGCCCGAAGCCGGUGACCUAACCGCAAGGAAGGAGCCGUCGAAGGUGGAGCCGAUGACUGGGGUGAAGUCGUAACAAGGUACC